Molecule: ribosomal RNA, 496 nt
Filed under: uncultured bacterium
Lineage: Bacteria
Description: partial 16S ribosomal RNA
Rfam family: Bacterial small subunit ribosomal RNA
Source: RNAcentral
AUGAACGCUGGCGGCGUGCCUAAUACAUGCAAGUCGAGCGAACGGACGAGAAGCUUGCUUCUCUGAUGUUAGCGGCGGACGGGUGAGUAACACGUGGAUAACCUACCUAUAAGACUGGGAUAACUUCGGGAAACCGUAGCUAAUACCGGAUAAUAUUUUGAACCGCAUGGUCCAAAAGUGAAAGACGGUCUUGCUGUCACUUAUAGAUGGACCCGCGCUGCAUUAGCUAGUUGGUAAGGUAACGGCUUACCAAGGCAACGAUGCAUAGCCGACCUGAGAGGGUGAUCGGCCACACUGGAACUGAGACACGGUCCAGACUCCUACGGGAGGCAGCAGUAGGGAAUCUUCCGCAAUGGGCGAAAGCCUGACGGAGCAACGCCGCGUGAGUGAUGAAGGUCUUCGGAUCGUAAAACUCUGUUAUUAGGGAAGAACAUAUGUGUAAGUAACUGUGCACAUCUUGACGGUACCUAAUCAGAAAGCCACGGCUAACUACGUG